RNAcentral lists this ribosomal RNA (635 nucleotides) under Streptomyces sp. RNAcentral describes it as "bacterial SSU rRNA". It matches the Rfam family "Bacterial small subunit ribosomal RNA", at positions 158 to 807 of the family's 1533-position model. Lineage: Bacteria; Bacillati; Actinomycetota; Actinomycetes; Kitasatosporales; Streptomycetaceae. The record is from RNAcentral.
GGGGUCUAAUACCGGAUAACACCUGCCCGGGCAUCUGGGUGGGUUAAAAGCUCCGGCGGUGAAGGAUGAGCCCGCGGCCUAUCAGCUUGUUGGUGAGGUAGUGGCUCACCAAGGCGACGACGGGUAGCCGGCCUGAGAGGGCGACCGGCCACACUGGGACUGAGACACGGCCCAGACUCCUACGGGAGGCAGCAGUGGGGAAUAUUGCACAAUGGGCGAAAGCCUGAUGCAGCGACGCCGCGUGAGGGAUGACGGCCUUCGGGUUGUAAACCUCUUUCAGCAGGGAAGAAGCGAAAGUGACGGUACCUGCAGAAGAAGCGCCGGCUAACUACGUGCCAGCAGCCGCGGUAAUACGUAGGGCGCAAGCGUUGUCCGGAAUUAUUGGGCGUAAAGAGCUCGUAGGCGGCUUGUCACGUCGGGUGUGAAAGCCCGGGGCUUAACCCCGGGUCUGCAUUCGAUACGGGCUAGCUAGAGUGUGGUAGGGGAGAUCGGAAUUCCUGGUGUAGCGGUGAAAUGCGCAGAUAUCAGGAGGAACACCGGUGGCGAAGGCGGAUCUCUGGGCCAUUACUGACGCUGAGGAGCGAAAGCGUGGGGAGCGAACAGGAUUAGAUACCCUGGUAGUCCACGCCGUAAAC